RNAcentral lists this ribosomal RNA (406 nucleotides) under uncultured bacterium. Its description in RNAcentral is "partial 16S ribosomal RNA". It matches the Rfam family "Bacterial small subunit ribosomal RNA", at positions 30 to 526 of the family's 1533-position model. The record is from RNAcentral.
AUUGAACGCUGGCGGCAGGCCUAACACAUGCAAGUCGAACGAGUGGCGGACGGGUGAGUAAUGUCUGGGAACCUGCCUGAUGGAGGGGGAUAACAACUGGAAACGGUAGCUAAUACCGCAUACCAUCAGAUGUGCCCCGAUGGGAUUAGCUAGUAGGUGGGGUAACGGCUCACCUAGGCGACGAUCCCUAGCUGGUCUGAGAGGAUGACCAGCCACACUGGAACUGAGACACGGUCCAGACUCCUACGGGAGGCAGCAGUGGGGAAUAUUGCACAAUGGGCGCAAGCCUGAUGCAGCCAUGCCGCGGGUAUGAAGAAGGCCUUCGGGUUGUAAAGUACGUUCAGCGGGGAGGCGUUACCCGCAGAAGAAGCACCGGCUAACUCCGUGCCAGCAGCCGCGGUAAUUC